CAUGGAGAUCCUACUACUACAGAGGAGAGGAGGUAACAUGGAGAUCCUACUACUACAGAGGAGAGGAGGUAACAUGGAGGUCCUACUACUACAGAGGAGAGGAGGUAACAUGGAGAUCCUACUACUACAGAGGAGAGGAGGUAACAUGGAGAUCCUACUACUACAGAGGAGAGGAGGUAACAUGGAGGUCCUACUACUACAGAGGAGAGGAGGUAACAUGGAGGUCCUACUACUACAGAGGAGAGGAGGUAACAUGGAGAUCCUACUACUACAGAGGAGAGGUAACAUGGAGAUCCUACUACUACAGAGGAGAGGAGGUAACAUGGAGAUCCUACUACUACAGAGGAGAGGAGGUAACAUGGAGGUCCUACUACUACAGAGGAGAGGAGGUAACAUGGAGAUCCUACUACUACAGAGGAGAGGAGGUAACAUGGAUGUCCUACUACUACAGAGGAGAGGAGGUAACAUGGAGAUCCUACUACUACAGAGGAGAGGUAACAUGGAGAUCCUACUACUACAGAGGAGAGGAGGUAACAUGGAGGUCCUACUACUACAGAGGGAAGCCUACUGGAUAUCCUGUCUAAAAACAUUGACCCCUCGUGGUCUGAAUAUUGACUUAGAUCAAAGACCCUUAUUAUGAACAAUAU
RNAcentral lists this long non-coding RNA (647 nucleotides) under Salmo salar (Atlantic salmon). RNAcentral describes it as "lncRNA (ENSSSAG00000086170.1)". The record is from RNAcentral. Lineage: Eukaryota; Metazoa; Chordata; Actinopteri; Salmoniformes; Salmonidae.